RNAcentral lists this transfer RNA (74 nucleotides) under Christensenellaceae bacterium. RNAcentral's name for it is "tRNA-Ala". It matches the Rfam family "tRNA". Rfam says of the family: Transfer RNA (tRNA) molecules are approximately 80 nucleotides in length. Lineage: Bacteria; Bacillati; Bacillota; Clostridia; Christensenellales; Christensenellaceae. The record is from RNAcentral.
GGGGUCGUGGUUGAAUGGUACAACGGUGCGUUCGCAAUGCACUAGUGGGGGUUCGAUUCCCCCCGACUCCACCA